UACGGGGGGGGCAAGCGUUGUUCGGAAUUACUGGGCGUAAAGGGCUCGUAGGCGGCCAACUAAGUCAGACGUGAAACCCCUCGGCUUAACCGGGGAACUGCGUCUGAUACUGGAUGGCUUGAGUGUGGGAGAGGAAUGCGGAAUUCCAGGUGUAGCGGUGAAAUGCGUAGAUAUCUGGAGGAACACCGGUGGCGAAGGCGGCAUUCUGGACCAUUACUGACGCUGAGGAGCGAAAGCCAGGGGAGCAAACGGG
RNAcentral lists this ribosomal RNA (253 nucleotides) under uncultured bacterium. RNAcentral describes it as "partial 16S ribosomal RNA". It matches the Rfam family "Bacterial small subunit ribosomal RNA", at positions 524 to 776 of the family's 1533-position model. The record is from RNAcentral.